RNAcentral lists this long non-coding RNA (282 nucleotides) under Fragaria vesca (wild strawberry). RNAcentral describes it as "long non-coding RNA (FVES_LNC002009)". Lineage: Eukaryota; Viridiplantae; Streptophyta; Magnoliopsida; Rosales; Rosaceae. The record is from RNAcentral.
CACCUACAACAUUGUAACCUUCUCACAUUAUAAGUUCCUAAUUGUGUAUCUCACCGCCAUACAGAGAUCUUCAAGACUUCACCACAGCCCAAAUCACUCUGUUGGGCCCUUAGUAAAGCAAGUAAUUUUACCCAAAGUUAAGCCUUAACUAAAGCUCAGUGCAAGCCAUGAAGAGCCCCCCAAAUUUACAUAAGGAAAAGCCUAGCUUGGGAAUUGGGACAAAUCCAAGAAGAAAGUGUUCAAUCUUCUAAGAUUUAGCCAUAACCCAGAUCUGAAUUAAAA